Molecule: unclassified non-coding RNA, 285 nt
Filed under: Hevea brasiliensis (rubber tree)
Lineage: Eukaryota; Viridiplantae; Streptophyta; Magnoliopsida; Malpighiales; Euphorbiaceae
Source: RNAcentral
ACCCAUUGAGGAUUUUUAAAUCCGGGUUCUGCUAUUCGUCCUUGUCCUUUGUAGCUCGACAUCACACCAAGUUCAUCUGGAUAGAUUCCACGGUUCAUUAGACGAUUCCCUUUGCCAAUUUUAGCACGAAAGGUUACCUGUCCAGCAGGAACGUUUAGGUCGCCAGUCAAUUUCACAGCUUCAACAUACUCAAAGAAUUCAAUCUCGGAGUCACCAUUGCUUUCAUUUGUAUCAUUCCAGUGACCAAACUUGCGCCGCAAUUGUACCACCUCAGUGCCAUAGGGA